Molecule: ribosomal RNA, 495 nt
Filed under: uncultured bacterium
Lineage: Bacteria
Description: partial 16S ribosomal RNA
Rfam family: Bacterial small subunit ribosomal RNA
Source: RNAcentral
GACGAACGCUGGCGGCGUGCCUAAUACAUGCCAGUAGAACGCUGAAGGAGGAGCUUGCUUCUCUGGAUGAGUUGCGAACGGGUGAGUAACGCGUAGGUAACCUGCCUGGUAGCGGGGGAUAACUAUUGGAAACGAUAGCUAAUACCGCAUAAUAGUAGAUGUUGCAUGACAUUUGCUUAAAAGGUGCAAUUGCAUCACUACCAGAUGGACCUGCGUUGUAUUAGGUAGUUGGUGAGGUAACGGCUCACCAAGGCGACGAUACAUAGCCGGCCUGGGAGGGUGAUCGGGCACAAUGGGACUUGGACACGGCCCAGACUCCCACGGGAGGCAGCAGUAGGGAAACUUCGGCAAUGGACGGAAGGCUGACCGAGCAACGCCGCGUGAGUGAAGAAGGGUUUCGGAUCGUAAAGCUCUGUUGUAAGAGAAGAACGAGUGUGAGAGUGGAAAGUUCACACUGUGACGGUAUCUUACCAGAAAGGGACGGCUAACUACGUG